This 440-nucleotide long non-coding RNA is filed under the name Chinchilla lanigera (long-tailed chinchilla). Its description in RNAcentral is "lncRNA (ENSCLAG00000027356.1)". Lineage: Eukaryota; Metazoa; Chordata; Mammalia; Rodentia; Chinchillidae. The record is from RNAcentral.
UUUCAACGCUGCAGAAUUCUUUUUCAGAACUUUGAUAUCUUCCUACAAUUCUUCUUGAGAUUUACUCUACUAAUCAAAACCCAUCACCACGAACCUCUAAGUAUUUCUCCACCUCAGUUUCUGUUGAAACUGCUGUAAUACAAUGUCCUGGAUUCCUAGGAGCCCAACUGUUUAAGUGAAUUAUCUUUGAGACAGCACCCUCGGUGUUUCUGGGGGAAGUCACCUACACAUGAGCUCAGCGGACAGCGACAUCCUGCCCGGCUCGAUGGCCCAGGCCAUCACUGCAGCGCAUCGGUCUUCCUCUGUCCUCUGCACAUGACUCAUUUCACUCCCGCUGCUGUCUGAUGACACCAUCGCCCAAGCGCACGGGCAAGCUGCUUUUCUGAUUUACAGGAUAGAGACCUUAGAAUUAGAAGAGUGGAGGGAGCCCCAACUCGCCG